RNAcentral lists this ribosomal RNA (424 nucleotides) under Limnoporus esakii. Its description in RNAcentral is "partial 16S ribosomal RNA". The record is from RNAcentral. Lineage: Eukaryota; Metazoa; Arthropoda; Insecta; Hemiptera; Gerridae.
GAUAUGAACUCUCCGAAAAGAUUACGCUGUUAUCCCUAAGGUAAGUUAAUCUUAUAAUCAAAAAUUCUGGAUCAAAAAUACAUAAAUUAAUGAAAAGAAAUAUUAAAAGUUAAAUAAAUUUUAAUGUCACCCCAACAAAACUUUAUAUUCUAAAAAAUUAUUUAAUAAACAAAAAAUAAAAAUUAAUAAAUAAAGUAAACUUCUAUAGGGUCUUCUCGUCCUAUAGAAAAAUUUUAGCUUUUUAACUAAAAAAUUAAAUUCAAAAUAAUUAAAAAAAGAAAGAUUAUUUUUCAUGAAACCAUUCAUACUAGCCUUCAAUUAAAAGACAAAUGAUUAUGCUACCUUCGUACAGUUAAAAUACCGCAGCCUUUUAAUUCUAAAAAAUCAAUGGGCAGGCCUGAUCUUAAAUUACAAUCAAAAGACC